This 409-nucleotide ribosomal RNA is filed under the name bacterium. RNAcentral describes it as "partial 16S ribosomal RNA". It matches the Rfam family "Bacterial small subunit ribosomal RNA", at positions 355 to 776 of the family's 1533-position model. RNAcentral also lists the same sequence under 2 other names. The record is from RNAcentral.
UGGGGAAUAUUGCACAAUGGGCGAAAGCCUGAUGCAGCGACGCCGCGUGAGGGAUGACGGCCUUCGGGUUGUAAACCUCUUUCAGCAGGGACGAAGCGCAAGUGACGGUACCUGCAGAAGAAGCACCGGCUAACUACGUGCCAGCAGCCGCGGUAAUACGUAGGGUGCAAGCGUUGUCCGGAAUUACUGGGCGUAAAGAGUUCGUAGGCGGUUUGUCGCGUCGUUUGUGAAAACCAGCAGCUCAACUGCUGGCUUGCAGGCGAUACGGGCAGACUUGAGUACUGCAGGGGAGACUGGAAUUCCUGGUGUAGCGGUGAAAUGCGCAGAUAUCAGGAGGAACACCGGUGGCGAAGGCGGGUCUCUGGGCAGUACCUGACGCUGAGGAACGAAAGCGUGGGUAGCGAACAGG